Long non-coding RNA from Astyanax mexicanus (Mexican tetra), 807 nucleotides. RefSeq lists it as uncharacterized. The record is from RefSeq and is a predicted model, not a curated record. The transcript has 3 exons. Lineage: Eukaryota; Metazoa; Chordata; Actinopteri; Characiformes; Acestrorhamphidae.
UCCAAGAAAAUAUCUUACAAUCAAAGUAUUAAUUACAUAACCGUUGGGGUACAGCUGAAGUUUGAAAGCUACAGGGAUAAUAAAUAUAUCUCAAUGUAGGCCUACUGCUAUGUGUUAGAGUCUGCAUAUCUGAAGGUCAGUAUGUGCAGUAGCUCUGUGAUUUGUACAUCUUACCAACAUUAACACAUUUUAUCAUCUUGUAUUAAUAAUUACUGAAUUACUAUUUUGCAGGAGUAGACGGAUGAAUGAGCCUGACCUGAAUAUGGGCAAGCCCAACAACAGUGUAAGUACAAUGUCUGGAACCACAGGAUGCUCCAAACCCUACAUUCCAACCACGCAAUAAGUAUAUUUUUGUAUAAUAUUGAUUAUUAUUCAGUUAACUGACUUUUUUUUAAAUUAAAGCAAGUUUUGUUUGCAAAACCUGAAAAAUGUCAUUUUAAAUGUUACUGCAUAGAUAGAGCUUAACACAAUCUUCCUUUUUUCUUCUAUGAAAUGUAUUGCAGUGAACAAGCCUUCAGUAAAAUGUUGGAUCAGGUAGCUAUGAGAAUAAGAAGGCAAUCCAAACAUAUUUAGGAAGAAGUGAAGAUGGGAGUGAACUAGAAGAGAUCAGCACUUUCUUCAGUUUUCUUUAUUCUUAUUUUCAGUUAACAUUGUGAGUGUAUACAAAAAAAUAACUGAUUUUAAAUAAUCUGCAUAACAUUACUUAUAAAAAUAAUAAAAAGCAUAAGCAUUCCAGUUAACUUUAUCACUUAGGAAUGAGACUAAUAAACUAAUUAACUAUAAUUUUUUACUUUACUUUUAAAUACA